Molecule: ribosomal RNA, 115 nt
Filed under: Colwellia sp. 1_MG-2023
Lineage: Bacteria; Pseudomonadati; Pseudomonadota; Gammaproteobacteria; Alteromonadales; Colwelliaceae
Source: RNAcentral
UCUAGCGACAAUAGCGACGUAGAACCACCUGAUCCCAUUCCGAACUCAGUAGUGAAAUGCGUUAGCGCCGAUGGUAGUGUGGGAGUUCCCAUGUGAGAGUAGGACAUUGCUAGGC